AUGGAGCCAUUGGGUGCAGUCACUAUAGCAACCAGGCUCACACCUGCCUGCCUAAUGAGCUCUCUCUCUCUCACUGUGCCAAGAUUCAUCUUAAACACUUCUCUUUCAACUGCUGCUGUGUCCACAGUGUUUGCUCUACAGCCAUCAUUUUACCCUCAAAACGUCGCCAUCGUUCUUCUCUUUCCAACACUGUCUUUCAAAGCUCAGAUAUGUAAAGUUUUUAAACUGUGUGGAUCCAAGUGGAGGGAUCACAUUUUAGUCAUUCAGUGAUUCAAAGAAUAUGAACUUUUAAUAUUCAUUCAGAUGUUUUCUGACUCUAAAUAGUCUUUUGUCAUUUCUUAUGUUUUUCUAAUUUACAUUUAAAACAUUUUCAGCUCUUUUCCAACUUCUUCUCUGUGGUUGUCAGCUUUUAGCAGUUCAGCUUUUUUGUUUUCAGGUACAAAUUUCUGUAUUUUUCAUCUCAUUCAACAUUUUUAACUUAAAAUUCAGCAAUUAAUUCAUUUCAGUGCAUACAUUCAGAUUCAAGCAUUCACACUGCAGUUUCUUCAGAAAAUGCAUUUUCUAGUUAUUAGUGUGAAUGCUUGUAAAAGCAUUCACAGUAUUGUUCUUCUAAUCUUUAUUAUUAUUGUGUGGAUGCCCUCAAAGGGCUUCCACACUAUUGAGUUCCUGUUUCUCUUUAUUCUUUAUCUUUAUACUUUAUUAUUCUUCUAGUUGCUCCAUUCUUCGCCGUUUAACUACUCCGUCAGUUUUCAGCCGAUUUUCUCCGUUCAAACUCUAAACUGUUCUGCUCUUUCUGCUAAUGACUGCUAUGACUUUUGGUGUUUAUUACUCUUAUACUUUUUAAAAUAUUACACUUUUUUCCUUUAAUUUGUCCUAUUGAAAUGAAUGGGAAACUUCCACAAUUCUGCUAAAACUUGCUUGUUUUUGAAACUUAACUACAUCCUCAUACUUUCACCUAGAAACUCCAUUCAAACUUUAAAAUGUUCUCAGAUUAUUGGGCUAUUCCUGAGUGAUUCAGCUUUUUCAGAUCUUCUACCGUUUUAAUUUUAUACCUCUUUAAGUUUUCAGUUGCAAAAUUGUGAUUUUUCAGAAAAUACAUGCGUUGUUAUGGUUGCUAUGCAAUUAACUCAGAGUGAGGGCUGGUCUGUUCUGAAUUUUCUCUUCAUGUCUGAACAACUUCUUGCAACUCGCUCAAUUUCCACUCAAUCCCCACAAAUUAUACAUCAAAACGUAGAUAUUUUUGCUGGCUUUCAGAAAAUGUCACUAUCAUUGUUGUGGGCGUUACAGAAUUUUGGCAAAUCUCCUCAGAGCAACACAAAGUCUGAAAACUCUCCAUAGAGAGUCAAUGGAGAGUUUGUUUAAAAUCAGCGCUGGAAUUCUCUAAUGAGAGGCAUUUUCGAAUCGUCAUAUCUCUUUAACCAAACAAAGUUGAGACAUGACGCUUGUGCCAAUAUAUCUUCAGACACCCCUGAUGCUCACAAUUCAAGAAUUUUUUUCUCACCUAUUACCGUUUGGCCAUCAAUUACAUUUGUUUGAGGGUAGGAAAUUGGUGCCUUGCUCCGAUCUCUUCAGAUUUCAAACUCUGGAAAUUAGGCACUUUUUCUCUCAUCAUAUCUUUUUGAUGGAUUUCCACAGAGACCUGAAAAUUCCCAUGACUGUUCACCAAAGCCUGCUGUUUCUUACGGUGAAAAAAUGAUUUUGAUGCUCCAUAUAGAUUUAGAGUUACAAAACGUUGUUUGAGGGCAAGUCAAGGCAGUUUUGCUUUGCCUCUACUCAGUUACAGUGUGUUACAAGUCAUAUAUCUUCAAUAAUUUAUAUUUUAUCUCUGAAUUAUGAAGACCUGCAGAUUCCCCCAUCUCUUCUGAACAAAACGGUGUCAGAAUGACCGUUCUAGCUCCUAUGGUUAGGAAAUUAUGGCCAUUUGUUCGAGGGGAAUCCUGAAUGUGCGAAAUACACUGAAGAAAACCCAUACCUCUCUCUGUGUCUGUGUGUGUAAGUGCUGAUUACAGCAGGUGCAGCCAAUUUAGCUGACCUAGAUAUACCAAGCCCAGACUCUUAACAGCCCCUGUACACUUUGCUCUCUGUGUAUGUGUGUGUGAGUAUCAAUAUUUCUCCCAUGUUAAAGUAUUACUCCUCCAUAAUAGUAUUUGUGCUAAAUCAAAGUACUUCUACUACAUCUUAGUACUUCUGCUCAAUCAUAGUAUUUCUGCUAAAUCAUAGUAUUUUUGAAAAAUCAUGGUGUUUGUGCCAAAUCAUGGUUUUGGGGCAAAACCAUAAUAUUUAUUUUAUGUUAUACUAUUACUACUAAGUGGAGGAAUGUGUGUUAUGUUAUAGUAUAUUUGCUGAAUAUAGUGUAUCUGCCAAAUCAUAGUAUUUAUCCCAAAUCAUAGUAUUUCUGCCAUAUCAUCGUAUUUGUGCCAAAUCAUGGUAUUUUUUUGCCCAAAUCAUGAUAUUUGUGCCAAAUCAUGUUAUUUUUGUCCAAUUAAAAUUUCUCUUAUGUUAUAGUAUUACUACUAAGUCGUAGAAUUUUUGUUAUGUUACACUAUAUCUGCUGAUUAUAGUAUAUGUGCCAAAUCAUAGUAUUUAUAGCAAAUCAUAGUAUU
RNAcentral lists this long non-coding RNA (2603 nucleotides) under Oreochromis niloticus (Nile tilapia). RNAcentral's name for it is "lncRNA (ENSONIG00000038314.1)". Lineage: Eukaryota; Metazoa; Chordata; Actinopteri; Cichliformes; Cichlidae. The record is from RNAcentral.